GUGCGGACAUGGCGCCACCUGGCCCUUCAGCAAGGCAACCACAUGAUGCUGCUCAUACUCCAAUUCGUCUAAGUCCCUUUAAAAUGGGAUCCAGAAACUGGACAGCGGGCUGCAAGGGUCUUUCUCAUUUUACCACCGUCCAAACGUCAAGCCCAUUAGUUCUUCUCUCUCCGCCAUCCUUGUUACCCGCGGUUACAAGGACAAGCUGCAGCUGUUCAGUAAGCUUAACUGGUGGUGAUAAAGUGUUGUAGCAGGCAAAUGUCUGACACAUCUGUUCAGCAAGUCCAUAACCCUACAGCUGAGUUUACGAAACUAUAGAUUCAAGUAACUUUAAAGUGAAUUUGAAUUCACUCUGUAAAAACCGACUUAGAUAACUCAAACGGGAGAGCUUUCUGGAUCACGCCGCCCAUGGAGCUCGGGGAGCUGACCAGAGAUUUGCAUCUGGGAUGUAAGGAUUUCAAAUCUAGAGGUUUAAACCACCAUGGAUUAUACUAGCCAUCUGUGUGGUUCGGAAUAACGCAAUCUGGCGAACCCAACCCCUUUCUAACUCCAUAUUCCAAGUAGUUGAAUGUACACUGGAGAUGUGAUUUGAGCUCUUUUUCCCCUCACAUUUUCUAACUAUGUUUUUAUCUGCAGUAGACAACUAGGUCAGAAGAGAGGGACUCAGCUGUUAUUAUAAAGGUCCCAGAUAGAGUUUCAGCAUCACAAAAAUGCCAAGUAAGGAAGUCUCUUCUAUAGUUAAGCAAGAAGCAGUUCAACAGAGGAUAGCUCUGUUUAAACAAGCAUUCAUAUAUUAUAGGUACG
RNAcentral lists this long non-coding RNA (804 nucleotides) under Equus asinus (donkey). RNAcentral's name for it is "lncRNA (ENSEASG00005025905.1)". Lineage: Eukaryota; Metazoa; Chordata; Mammalia; Perissodactyla; Equidae. The record is from RNAcentral.